RNAcentral lists this ribosomal RNA (496 nucleotides) under uncultured bacterium. Its description in RNAcentral is "partial 16S ribosomal RNA". It matches the Rfam family "Bacterial small subunit ribosomal RNA", at positions 28 to 507 of the family's 1533-position model. The record is from RNAcentral.
GACGAACGCUGGCGGCGUGCCUAAUACAUGCAAGUUGAGCGCUGAAGGUUGGUACUUGUACCAACUGGAUGAGCAGCGAACGGGUGAGUAACGCGUGGGGAAUCUGCCUUUGAGCGGGGACAACAUUGGGAAACGAAUGCUAAUACCGCAUAAAAACUUUAAACACAAGUUUUAAGUUUGAAAGAUGCAAUUGCAUCACUCAAAGAUGAUCCCGCGUUGUAUUAGCUAGUUGGUGAGGUAAAGGCUCACCAAGGCGAUGAUACAUAGCCGACCUGAGAGGGUGAUCGGCCACAUUGGGACUGAGACGCGGCCCAACCUCCUACGGGAGGCAGCAGUAGGGCAUCUUCGGCAAUGGACGAAAGUCUGACCGAGCAACGCCGCGUGAGUGAAGAAGGGUUUCGGAUCGUAAAACUCUGUUGGUAGAGAAGAACGUUGGUGAGAGUGGAAAGCUCAUCAAGUGACGGUAACUACCCAGAAAGGGACGGCUAACUACGUG